Molecule: long non-coding RNA, 1614 nt
Filed under: Aquilegia coerulea
Lineage: Eukaryota; Viridiplantae; Streptophyta; Magnoliopsida; Ranunculales; Ranunculaceae
Description: long non-coding RNA (ACOE_LNC002166)
Source: RNAcentral
AAAAAGAGAGCAAAAGCAGCUUCUUCUUUAAAGGACAAACAGAACAACAAAAAAAUUCAAACGUUUAAGAGAAUAUGAGCAUGCAUGCCAUGUUUUACUUUAAAAGUCCCUAAAGCUAAAACAAUUCACGAGAAGAAAAGUACCCUUGUCAUCAUUCCUACAACACAUCUCUCUCAAGUCUCAAUAUCAAUCCAUUCAUACAUAUCUUCUUAUUUUUCUACAAUAAUAAUUCAAAUUAGUACCUAAAUUAAAUAAGAAAAAAAAAAUACAUAAAUGUUAACCACAUACAUGAUACAUUUUUUACUUUCAUCAAGAACAUGGACAAUCAUAGAUGCAGAAGAGGGUAACGGAAUGAACCGCGUACACCUAUCCAAUAAGCGAAAGAAUUUUGAAAAAUUCUCUUACUCCAUUGCCAAUCAACUUUACAAUGUUUUGCGCCAGAAGAUUUCAGGUUAGAUGUACUUCACCAUGCCAGUUCUCUCCAUCAAACUUUGAUUCUAGACCAUAGAGACAAGCCUUCAUUAACGGUUGUGGAGUGGAUCAUAAGUGUUUGGAACUCUUCUUUUGUUUGCAAAGAACUCAUAGAAAGGAGGCUGCUCUACUUCUUGUUGUUGUUGUGGUUGCUGUUGUUUCUCUUGAACUUCUUGAGAAUGCUCAUCAGUUGCAAAGCUACUUGUUGGCUCCAUCAUUUCAUCUGCUAAGCAUGAAACCAAUAACAUUGCAAGUAGAAGUAACAUACUUAACUUCUUGAACAACAACUCCAUUAUUUGUAGACAACUUCUAGUGUUCUUUGGCCUUAAAGAAGUGAAAUAGAGUUGUUCGGUUUGGUUAUUUGGCUUGAUAGGCAAGGUAGAAGAUAGAUAGUCAAGAAAGUUAGAAAAGGUGGAAAUAGAAAAAGAUCAAAAGUUGAUUGGGUUUGUUGUGGUAAGAAAAAGGUAACAAAAUGCUAUUGAUUACAUCCUCCAAACAAGGGACACAGCUCACAAAAAAAGUGACUACUUUUAGUAUAAAUUUAGAUAGUUUAAUUUCUUGCUUUUCAGUCCUUAAAGGGUGACUGAGUUAGUAAAAGCAUUUCUAUACAUUUCUUGGCUUUUUGUCAAUUAGCUCAUGUUGUUGCUUAAAGCCUAACUUGCAUGCUUGAACAUUCUAAUUAACAUUGUUAAUCUGUAAUAAUGCAAUGCAAUAAAAUUUCUUAAUCAAUUACUUUGUAUAAGGUGACAUUGUCUUUCUGCAGAACCAUUAGAUUGUCUUGUCCCACAAACUCUGGCCCAAGGAGGUCAAGUUUUCAUGGAGCUGGUCGGUCCGAUUUGGGUCCAGUUUUGCAAGCAUUCAGGGCCAUGGAACGAUUGAUUGAUUGUGUAGGACUACUUGUAGGAGUGGGGUAUAUCUAGGUAGGUACUUCGUAUUCCUUCGGCAACUGCUAGUGUUUUUCUUUUUGCUAAGUUUCCGCAACCACUAGCAUCUGCCUCAGGCUGUAGUCUGAUGAGGGACUGAUAUUGGAAGUAAGGCUAUCCUCAGGUUAUAUAGUCUUAUUACUUAAGUACUUAACUCAUGUACUGCAGUGAGUGCGUUCAGUUGGCUAAUCCAGGGACCUGGCUAACGAGUAACGACCGA